RNAcentral lists this ribosomal RNA (253 nucleotides) under uncultured bacterium. Its description in RNAcentral is "partial 16S ribosomal RNA". It matches the Rfam family "Bacterial small subunit ribosomal RNA", at positions 524 to 776 of the family's 1533-position model. The record is from RNAcentral.
GACGAACCGUGCGAACGUUGUUCGGAAUCACUGGGCUUAAAGGGCGCGUAGGCGGGCCGGCAAGUCAGGGGUGAAAUCCCACGGCUCAACCGUGGAAGUGCCUUUGAUACUGCCGGUCUGGAGGGAGGUAGGGGCGUGCGGAACUUCCGGUGGAGCGGUGAAAUGCGUAGAUAUCGGAAGGAACGCCGGUGGCGAAAGCGGCGCGCUGGACCUCUACUGACGCUGAGGCGCGAAAGCCAGGGGAGCAAACGGG